AAUAAAAGUUUUAUCCUAGCUGGUUCUUUCAUUAUUAGGUUAAUG
Molecule: ribosomal RNA, 45 nt
Filed under: Penaeus duorarum (pink shrimp)
Lineage: Eukaryota; Metazoa; Arthropoda; Malacostraca; Decapoda; Penaeidae
Description: partial small subunit ribosomal RNA
Source: RNAcentral